Molecule: unclassified non-coding RNA, 396 nt
Filed under: Hevea brasiliensis (rubber tree)
Lineage: Eukaryota; Viridiplantae; Streptophyta; Magnoliopsida; Malpighiales; Euphorbiaceae
Source: RNAcentral
GUCGUCCCCAACGGCGCCGGCGCCGGCGCCGCCAUAGAGCUCGACUUCACCUGCGGCCUAGGCGUCGGCGUCGGCGGCGCCAAGCAGUCCUACAGCUCCUACACCGCCACCGACCUCGCUCACAGCGGCUCGUCGUCGGAGGUGGGCGUGGUGCCGGAGGCCAUGUGCGGCGGCGGCGGCGCCAUCGAUCUCGACUUCACGAGGCCGAAGCCUCAACCCUACAUGCCGUACACGGCGACUCCUCCUCCGAGCCACAGCGUAGUAAGCGCGCAGAUGUCGUCGUCGGUGGUCGACGUGGGCGUGGUGCCGGAGCGGGCGGCGGCGAUGGGGGAAGGGAGGGAGGCGAGGCUGAUGAGGUACAGGGAGAAGCGGAAGAACCGGCGGUUCGAGAAGACG